This is a long non-coding RNA of Dromiciops gliroides (monito del monte), 451 nucleotides long. RefSeq lists it as uncharacterized. NCBI's taxonomy places the organism in Eukaryota, Metazoa, Chordata, Mammalia, Microbiotheria, Microbiotheriidae. The record is from RefSeq and is a predicted model, not a curated record. The transcript is spliced from 2 exons.
AAUCUCUGAAAGGGGCCUUGUUUUGGCCUUGAGGGGAAAGACAGCUACAUCCAGGAUUCUCUCCGGGCCUCACCUGGCCUAAUUCAUCUGAUACAAUAGACUUGGUGCUUCUGAGGAUACUGCUGCCUCCACCAUCCAGUUCCCAGGACUAGUUUUUCUCUCCAGUCUCUGGUGAACCCCUUUGAAAUCUUCCUGGACCAGUGGAAACCUGCCCAACCCCACCCAAUUCAUGCAAUGUUGCCUCUCUUCCUGGACUGGGAAAAGACCACAAGCUCUAGGGUCCUUAGUGAAUACUUAAAGUACUUCUUUAGAGCUUGUGGCUUUUGGGGAGGGAGAGAGGUAUGGGUGAGAGAUAUAGGAGGAAACCUGGGGAAAGUAUGAACAAAAGAUAUUCACACGAUAGUCCUUGAAAUACUUGAAGACAGCAAUAAUAAACAGCAUUUAUACAGUG